GCACACAGGAAUAAAUAGCCUCAGUUUAGCCUCUGGCAUGUUCAGCUGUCCAUUUCCAGCGGGCUAACCAUCCUGAUUUCCCGCUAAGUCUCAACACCGAGCAGACUGCAGCUGUUUGGUUAAAGUUUACUGCAAGGUUUGCAAAGACAAGAGUUGUGGUUCAAAUCGAGAGGAAUAUAAAUGGUGGUAAUCAUAUACCAACAUCGAGGUGAGAAUUAGCGGGUAUGAGCUCAGAGGAGGAGUCAGUGGAUCAGACACCGCCCACCUGCGGUCUGCUGGGCCUUCUGCUGAAGAACAGGCGUCCCACCGGAGCUGUCAACGAGGUCUGGCCCGACCUCUUCGUUGGGAACGCGGCGACAGCUCGAAAUAAGACGCUGCUACAGAAUCUGGGAAUAACACACGUGGUGAACGCUGCAGAUGGCCCUCAGCACAUUGACACCGGGCCACGUUUCUACAGAGACGCCGACAUACAGUACCAUGGAGUAGAGGCAGCAGACUGCAUUGAUUUUGACUUGAGCCCGUUCUUCUCAGGGACUGCUGAUUUCAUUCACGGAGCUCUGAGUCAGAAAGGUAAGGUACUCGUCCACUGCGCUCGGGGAAUCAGCCGCUCGGGAACUUUGGUGUUAGCCUUCCUCAUGAUCAAAGAAGGUCUUACCCUGGAGGAAGCCGUGGAGCUCGUUUGCAGGAGCAGAAACAUUCUCCCAAACACUGGGUUUCUGAAUCAGCUCUGUCAGCUGGACUCAGCUUUGCGAAGAAGAAAAAUGUAACAUUCGGCGGUGGAGAGAACGCUUGGAUGUACUGCUAAAAGGAGUUUCAUCUUCAUGAAUACUUUAUAUUUUAAAAAGAACAAAAAACAGAAUGGUUCAGUCUGGMUUUUCUGGUUUUGAAUUUUGCAGUCCAACACAUUUUUAAUCAUUGCCUUUUGAAAACAGUGAUUACAAAUGUGUGUAAUUCAGUGUUAACGUUCUCAUUACAGAUAUGAUUAUUCAACAACGAGCUUAAAAGCAUGAAAAAUGUUCAAAAAAAUAUUCAGGGGGAAAAAAAACAGGACAUAUUACUGGUGUUCACUGUUUUGUAAAAGUAGCUGCAUCCCCUGAAAUUGUUCACAUUUUGAGAUACAUUUUAUUGGGGUUUUAUGAGUGCACUCUGCAAUUUUAAGAUAUUUCUAAAAAGAAMAAACUUUUGGAAUAAUAAUUUUCUGUCCUUUCCACAACUACAUCCUAACAAAUAUUUCAAGGAUCGUGUAAAUAUGACAGAAAUGAAUGAAGAUUUGACUGACAUAUAAAAUGGUCUAAAUGUUAGUAAUAAUUUCUGUAUUUUGAACCAAUUUUAUUUUAAAAUAGAGCAAGUAAUUUUAAGUGACCAACACAAUUUUAUUUGAGACAUAACAUAAAACUUAAAAAAAAAGAAAAAAAAAAAGAAGUGAAAAACAACCACGUGACGUCAUUACGCUGGGACCAACGUGACAGUUUUUCCCACCCGGUCUUUUCGUACACUUAAUUGCUACAGCUACAUCAAACACUGCUAGCGGAGGAAGUUUCUCCCUGACUGGAGGCAAAGGGACCAUGUAUGGAAGGAAGCCACAGUGAGGGGAAAAAAAUGGCUUCUCACAAGUCGAAGGCCGG
Poecilia reticulata (guppy) is the source of this 1625-nucleotide non-coding RNA. The record is from RefSeq and is a predicted model, not a curated record. NCBI's taxonomy places the organism in Eukaryota, Metazoa, Chordata, Actinopteri, Cyprinodontiformes, Poeciliidae.